CGUAACAAGGUCUCCGUUGGUGAACCAGCGGAGGGAUCAUUACUGAGUUACCGCUCUAUAACCCUUUGUGAACAUACCUAACUGUUGCUUCGGCGGGCAGGGGGUGCCGCCUGCGGACCCCCCUCCCGGCCCUGCCCUCACGGGCGGAGCGCCCGCCGGAGGAUACCAAACUCUAUUUUAACGACGUUUCUUCUGAGUGGCACAAGCAAAUAAUUAAAACUUUCAACAACGGAUCUCUUGGUUCUGGCAUCGAUGAAGAACGCAGCGAAAUGCGAUAAGUAAUGUGAAUUGCAGAAUUCAGUGAAUCAUCGAAUCUUUGAACGCACAUUGCGCCCGCCAGCAUUCUGGCGGGCAUGCCUGUUCGAGCGUCAUUUCAACCCUCAAGCUCUGCUUGGUGUUGGGGCCCUACGGUUGACGUAGGCCCUUAAAGGUAGUGGCGGACCCUCUCGGAGCCUCCUUUGCGUAGUAACUAACGUCUCGCACUGGGAUUCGGAGGGACUCUUGCCGUAAAACCCCCAAAUUUUUAAAGGUUGACCUCGGAUCAGGUAGGAAUACCCGCUGAACUUAAGCAUAUCAAUA
RNAcentral lists this ribosomal RNA (579 nucleotides) under Colletotrichum sp. ITCC 6079. RNAcentral describes it as "eukaryotic LSU rRNA". The stretch from base 218 to 371 matches the Rfam family "5.8S ribosomal RNA". The record is from RNAcentral. Lineage: Eukaryota; Fungi; Ascomycota; Sordariomycetes; Glomerellales; Glomerellaceae.